AGCAAGUUUAAAUACAACAAUAUAGGAAUAUAUCAUGAUUGAAGAGUAUGAAUAAUAAGUUGGCUAUAAUUCAUCAAUAUAAUUGAGAACUAGCAGGAACAAACUUUUGACUGAACAAGUUUUAAACAUGAACAAACAUUUCUGAACCAACUGGUAAUGAAGGUGAUCAGCCUUUCAUACCUGACUUAUACAUGCAAGAUGUACAGAGUACAAUUUUCAUGGCAAUCAGCAAUGAUUAACCAUAAGCUUGAAUAAAACACUCUUAUUAGAGUUAAGUAAGAACAAACUUGCCUGAACCGUUGAUUACCGCAACGCAAUUUAUAACGCUUUACCCGAAGACCUAAUAUUAAUAAUAUAGAUCUCCAAUAUUAGAAUAAUAUCAUCACAGUAUAAUACUGUUAUAUUUAAAUACACAGAAUAACCUAAACACAUAACACAUAACCCUAUAAGUCUAUACAGCACAUAAGACUUAGCAUCAGGUCAAACUAUUUCAGUCUGACUUAAAACUGACACAGUUCUAUCAUCCCGACGGUCUAGUCGGACAAUACUCGAGUUUAAGUUCAGUUAAACUCUUCCUGAACACUUAACAAUUAUCUCAGAUAAUUUCUUAUCAGUCAAAACAUUUUUCCUAGGCUCGUAAUAAUUUUCGGAUAAUUAUUACCAUUUAUCAUGAUUUUCCAAUCAUUAAAACCGUAUUUAAAUGAAUUAAAUACCACAUAAUUCCUUAAUCAUUAAUAUUCAUUUAAUAUAAAAUAUUAAUGAAAAUCCUUACAUAAUAUUAUAAUGUAAUUAUAAUAUUUCAAAAUAUUUUUAAUACCUUAAAAUCAUAAUUAUUUGAUUUUUAAACACUUAAAUCCAUUAUCCGAUAAUUAAUAUUAAUAUUAAAAUAUUAAUAUUUUCAUGCCAAAAUAUCAAAAGUUAUAUUUUAUAACUUAAAAUAUUUUUAUAACACUUAAAUCAUUUUUAUAUGAUUUUUAAAACAUUAAUUCUAUUUUUCCUUAAUUUAUUUAAUAUAUUUAUUAAAUAAACUAAUUACCAUUAAUAAUAAAUUAUUAAUGAAAUUUAUCACAAAAUAUUAAAAGUCAUCAAAAAUAACUUAAAAUAUUUUCUUUUACCAUAAUAUUAUUUUUCAUGAUUUUUCAUGAAUUAAAACUAUUUUUAAAUAAUUUAUUUAAUAUUAUAAUUAAAUAAAUAAAUACCUUUUAUAUUCCCAAAAAUAUUAAAUAUUUUUGAAAUAUAUCCAAAAUAAUUAAAAACUAUUUUUCAAGCUUUAAAAUAAUUUUUCAUAAUUUAUUAUGUAUUUUUAAUAAUUUAAAAUCAUUUAUUUCAAUUUAUUUAUUAAAAUAAUUAAUUUUCUAAUUUAUCUGUCGCUAAAGGUAGCUUAGGUGACAAAUCUGUCGCUAAAUGUGUUCUUGAUGUGUUCUUCAGCAUUUCCAGAAAUUCAUGUCAGUGUUCGAGUGGGUAGGUUUGACCCGAAUUUGAUCUAUGAUCUAAAUGUUUUCUAGACUUGUAAAAACUUUGAUGUUGUAGUACUAAUGUAGUACUACAAGUAUAUACCAAUUCCAUGACCAAACAACAACAUAACAACGAGAUCUAAGCUUCCAAAAAUGAUGUCAGACCUGUUCUUCAAAUUCUGGGAAUUCCAGAUUUGAAGAACAGCCUUAGGUGCCUUUUAUUGAUCCUUGUAACUUGCAUUCUAGGCUUUGGUUUUGUGAUCUAAAGGUUCAGUCUUGUAGCAGAGAUGUCAGUGUACAAGGUUGUAACAACCGAUCAUCAUAAAAACAACAAUAAGUUAAGAUUUGAGCCGGUCAAACUGGUAGGCAGAAAAAUCCCGUUGAAGAUCUGGGUUACCCAGAAUCUUCUUCCGGUCGUGAUGGUCAACGAUGGUUUGACUGUUCAUUACUUUGAUUCUAUGAAAGAUCUGAGUGAUAUAAUAACAUGAUUGUGUAGUCCUUAAACAUACCUACAAUAUCUAACCAACACAAUGGCCAAAACAACAAACACCAACAAGAUCAAGGGCUUUGAACAUCUUGUCAGACCUCCUGGGAAAAUUCUGGGUUACCCAGAAUUCAUUUCCCGUGAACGGUCAACGGUCUUUGACCGUUUAUAUCUUGCGAUCUAUAAUAGAUCUGGGUCUGAUUCUUUUUGCACCUUCAAGAACACAUAUCAGGCUACAUGUUACAAGUUUUAAACAUCAAAAACACUUAACACACACGGAUCUAUAAGAUCUGACAUUUGACUGAAAAACACAAUUUUCCAGAUUUCCAGAUUUUGAAAAACUCUAAAUUCGUGCACUUUGAUGUUAUGGAUCAUGGAUUUAUCAACCCAGAUCAUCAAUUGACACCUUAUUACAUAUCUUUGAACAAUCAAUUACAACAUUUAACAAGGAAUUGAAGGAUUUCAAAAUUAGGGUUUUAUACCUCUUUAUGCUUUGAUUUUAAUCUUGGCUCUCCAAUCUGUUUAUGGAUGAUCAUGGAGCUGUUUCUAGGACUGAUCCACUACUGAUUUUCGUGGGUUUGUGAAAGAGAGAGAGUUGGUGAGAGCAAAAUACAAAAUGGCUAAGUUUUUUGAACUUUCUCUCUCUAAAUCUUAUAUAUAAUGCUUUGAUUCAUGCAUGUUGCUUCAAUUUCGGCUGAGUUGGGCUGAUUUGCUGAGAUUUCAAGUUGCAAAGUCAAAAUAUUUGGUAACCUACUAAAGUUAUAGCAAUUUUUGCAAGUUACAUAAUAAAAUACACUAAAAGGGCAUUUUGGUCAUUAUCUAAUUAUUUUUAAUGGUAUUCUUGGAAUUGGCCAAACCCUUAGGGUUUAGGGUUUGUUAGGGUUUAGGGUUUGGAGCAUUUAGGGUUUAAGUUUUAACCCUUAACUUCCAAAUUAGUUUCUAACAUUUUCCGAGUUUCGGUUUUUCAAAAAUAAAAAUUUAAUAUUUCUAAAUUAUAAUUAGAAUUUUCUAAUUAUAUUACAAUUUCUUAAUUACACUUUAAAUCUUACUAACUAGGAUUAAUAUUUCCUAAUUAAAAUUGCUAAUUACGCAAGUAGGGUCAAAAUGGUCAUUAGGGUUUUCAACCCACAAUUUAGGGUUUCUAAAUAGAAAAUAAUUUUCUAAUAUAGAAAUUAAAUAUUCGUAAUUAGAUUAGGGUUUUCUAAUUACUUAACAUUAAAUUAGAAUUAAUAUAUCCUAAUUAACAUUAAAAUAUUCAAUUAACACUUUCAUUUUUCCUAAUUAUAAAUUAGGGUUUCAAAUCCAUCAUUAGGGUUCCUGACGGAAAAGUUUAAGUUCGAUAAUUUGAAAUUAGGGUUUGCUAAUUAAUUAAGCGUUACCCUAAUUAAUAUUAUAAUAAUAGCAGUAGAGCAUUAUAAUUCUCCAUUAAUUUCCCAGAUUAGGGCUUCAAUUUAUCAGAAUCUGAAACUAGGGUUUUCAGAUCAAGUAUUAGGGUUUCAGAUUUUGAAUUAGGGUUUUGUAAUCAAUUUGUUAAGAUUAACCCUAAUUAAUCUUAUAAUUAUUUACACUUAUGCCAUUAAGUUCCCGAUUUAGGGUUUCAUGCACCGAAUUAGGGUUUCGGAUUCUCGAAACUGAAACUAGGGUUUCCAGAACCGAUUUCUAGGGUUUCUUAUCAAACGUUAGGGUUUUCUAACUGAACGUUGUUGUUCUUAAUAUAUUCUUAGGGUUUGUUACAGAUAUAAUUUAUCUGGUCAACCCUUGACCCUUAACCACAUUCUGAACACGUACAUAACCAUAAACACAACACAUAUUCACAUAAAUCCUUAAUCCUGAAUAAUUCACCUAAAUCCUUCACAGAAUUUUGAAAUCCUCAAAAUUCCAUCCUAAUAACAUCAAACGCAUACACUUAUUUUCUAUCUAGGUCUAUUAUUUGACCUUAAAUCAAUCAUUUAAGAUUUUACUAAAUUGUCCAAAUUCUCGGGUUGUCACAUUCACCCCUCCUUCUAAGAAUUUCGUCCCCGAAAUUCACCUUACACCUUACACCGUAUACCAAAUAGCUUACACCAUUCACACAUAUCACAUGCUACCCAAUACACCACUCACCAGAGUAAAAGUUUUCAAAUUGUGCUGAGGGGUCGUAUAGACCAUGAACACUUAGUUUUAACGGUAGUGAUCAUACCGCAAAACAAUACAUUACUUGGUAUGUUUACAAUCACAAAGAAGGUAAACUACCAUUAAUAGUACUUUAGGUGAUUAGCCUAUCGUACUCUUACGUCAUGCAUAACGUAUUAAUUAUGUGUUGCGAAUAUUUACGCUUCUCGAUUGGAUUAUUUAUCCAAACAACAUUGUUCACCUCAGUCUUAUUAUAGGAUUCCGUACCAAAACAAUUUGGUUCGGGAAAUAUUUUUUUUUUUUUCAAUGAACACUUAGAGUUUUCAUAACAUUAGUCUAGCUGAAUCAAAUAGCAUGGACUCAUAUCAAUAAUUCAAUUCAAUCGAAUUAAUUAGGUGUAGCCAAACCCCGUUGGCAAAUUAAAAUUUUUUUGAAAACAUUUUUGAGAAUGACGUCAUGAUGCCGCACUGUAUUUACAGUCCGUUGAGGAUUUCGUCAUUUGGUAAUUUUGUCAUUCUACAUUAUACCAUAGUGGAAUAGUGACUUUAUGUCAAAUUCACACUAAGUAAUACUGCAUUGAUGACUCCAUCAUUUUUAUCAUCUCUGCACCAGGUUACAUGGUACAUGAGUGAUAAUUAAAAACAAAUUUUGGAUAUUUCAAAUCAUUUGAGUCUAGCUAAAAUAAGUAGCAUAGACUGUACUUUAAACCGUUUCAAAAAUGGUUACGAGUCUACAUUUUUUUUUUUUAAAAGGCACAUAGUGCGUAUUUAGCUUGAUGUCAAAAAUUGAAGUUUAGCAAAGCUAGGGGUUUAGGAAAACCUAAAUCUCCACUAAUGAUCAUAUGCUUAACAAUCUAUCUAUUCCUAUUAUCCUGAACACUCCAUUCACACAACUAUACCCAGUUCAUAAAACCACACUUAUGAGUUCAUAACCUGGCCACACUUAUAUGAGUUUACGAACUUACCCUAGUCUGACCUUUGGCGUCCGUUCGCUGAGGGGCUCAUAAACAUUUCAUAUAACUAUAAGUCAAGAAUGUCACAUAAGUAUGAGUUAUAAGAACUCGUACUUAAUACUAUAUUCUCUACCUAUGACCUAUUUAUCUGUAUAUAACAACUAGCGUGACACAACAUUUCAAUUAUUACUAAUGCCACCAACUAAGUAGUUUUUAUACCAAGUACAAUUCCCCGCCCAUACAAGAAAUCAUACAACUCAGUUGCUGACACGAGUCCUCAUUGAAAUCCCCACCUAAUACUUAACCCCCUUCUCAAUACGAAUUUCAUUUAAUCCGUAUUCAUAAUCCUUUACUGAAUCUGUACCAUUCACACAGCAAUCAUGCUUUAAACUUUUCAAUCAUCAGAUUGAUUCUUGCUGGCUGUCAUAACCUUAACAGAUCACGGGGUGAUCUCAUCGUAUAUAUUACGAUUCAAUUCUAUGACUAUGAUCCUUUUGUUUUACGAUCUCCUAUCACUGAACUUUUAGUCUUUUAGACUUUAUCUAUUCACCACUUCUGUUCAACCUUAUUACCAGAGUUAGGGAACUCUGUAUCUUAACAACUUACCGAGAUUCGUCUUUGAAUCUUACCGACCAACUAACUCUAUGUGAGUUAGAUCUUAUCCUAAUCACUGCGGUUAUUGGUCUCAGGUAUUCCUACCUAAGCUUCAUAACCAACAGCUUUGAUACCUACUGUAGCGUCCCCCGAAUCCGGGCCCCAAAUCGCCGCGGAUUCGGUUCGCUAAUCUUUCUAUAACUGUUUGCGGAAGAUAUAAACAUAAAUUGUUUAUACAUUACAUUACACAUUAUUCCCCAAGGUCGAGUAACCUUAACUUAAACACAAAUCAUAAGCUAUCUAUCAGAUAAGAUAUUAUUCAACUAUACUAUUACAAACUAGCCGCACAAUUUAUCCCAAGCUGUACUUGGCAUUAACCUUUUCCUGUAUCCGAACGCAUUCGCCUUAUCUGCAAUGUUUUAUCAUGAUAUAGCAAGGGUGAGCAUGAAAGUUGCCCAGCAAGUUUAAAUACAACAAUAUAAGGAUAUAUCAUGAUUGAAGAGUAUGAAUAAUAAGCUGGCUAUAAUUCAUCAAUAUAAUUGAGAACUAGCAGGAACAAACUUUUGACUGAACAAGUUUUAAACAUGAACAAACAUUUCUGAACCAACUGGUAAUGAAGGUGAUCAGCCUUUCAUACCUGACUUAUACAUGCAAGAUGUACAGAGUACAAUUUUCAUGGCAAUCAGCAAUGAUUAACCAUAAGCUUGAAUAAAACACUCUUAUUAGAGUUAAG
RNAcentral lists this long non-coding RNA (6329 nucleotides) under Panax ginseng (ginseng). RNAcentral describes it as "long non-coding RNA (PGIN_LNC009969)". The record is from RNAcentral. Lineage: Eukaryota; Viridiplantae; Streptophyta; Magnoliopsida; Apiales; Araliaceae.